This is a long non-coding RNA of Sebastes umbrosus (honeycomb rockfish), 211 nucleotides long. RefSeq lists it as uncharacterized. The transcript has 3 exons. The record is from RefSeq and is a predicted model, not a curated record. Lineage: Eukaryota; Metazoa; Chordata; Actinopteri; Perciformes; Sebastidae.
CAUGUCAGUGCAGGAAAUCAGUCCUGAGAUAUGAAUACUUUUACAUCAAAGACGUGUCUGAAGUUCUGAACUGUCGCCGAGGCUAAGAAACAUGGAUACUGUUAUUAGUACCAUGUAUACAUGGAGCUGAAUAACCAGGCUACACUAUGUGCCAAACCAGGAUAGUAGUGUGCAUGUUAACAUACUCACUGUCGGACUAGUCUGACUUGAA